AUUGAACGCUGGCGGCAGGCCUAACACAUGCAAGUCGAGCGGAUGAAGGGAGCUGGCUCCUGGAUUCAGCGGCGGACGGGUGAGUAAUGCCUAUGAAUCUGCCUGGUAGUGGGGGAUAACGUCCGGAAACGGGCGCUAAUACCGCAUACGUCCUGAGGGAGAAAGUGGGGGAUCUUCGGACCUCACGCUAUCAGAUGAGCCUAGGUCGGAUUAGCUAGUUGGUGGGGUAAAGGCCUACCAAGGCGACGAUCCGUAACUGGUCUGAGAGGAUGAACAGUCACACUGGAACUGAGACCAGGUCCAGACUCCUACGGGAGGCAGCAGUUGGGAAUAUUGGACCAUGGGCGAAAGCCUGAUCCAGCCAUGGCGCGUGGUAGAAGAAGGUCUUCGGAUUGUAAAACUCUUUAAGGUGGGAGGAAGGGCAGUAAGUUAAAACCUUGCUGUUUUGACGUUACCAACAGAAUAAGCACCGGCUAACUUCGUG
RNAcentral lists this ribosomal RNA (484 nucleotides) under uncultured bacterium. RNAcentral describes it as "partial 16S ribosomal RNA". It matches the Rfam family "Bacterial small subunit ribosomal RNA", at positions 30 to 507 of the family's 1533-position model. The record is from RNAcentral.